RNAcentral lists this ribosomal RNA (420 nucleotides) under uncultured bacterium. Its description in RNAcentral is "partial 16S ribosomal RNA". It matches the Rfam family "Bacterial small subunit ribosomal RNA", at positions 361 to 773 of the family's 1533-position model. The record is from RNAcentral.
AUAUAGGACAAUGGUGUCAACCCUGAUCCAGCCAUGGCGUGUGUGUGAAGAAGGUCUUCGGAUUGUAAAGCACUUUAUGUUGGGAGGAAGGGCUUUAGGUUAAUACCGUGAAGUAUUGACGUUACCAACAGAAUAAGCACCGGCUAACUCUGUGCCAGCAACCGCGGUAAUACAGAGGGUGCAAGCGUUAAUCGGAAUUACUGGGCGUAAAGCGCGCGUAGGUGGUUCAGUAAGAUGGGUUUGAAAUCCCCGGGCUUAACCUGGGAACUGCUUUCAUAACUGCUGAGCUAGAGUACGGUAGAGGGUAGUGGAAUUUCCUGUGUAGCGGUGAAAUGCGUAGAUAUAGGAAGGAACACCAGUGGCGAAGGCGACUACCUGGACUGAUACUGACACUGAGGUGCGAAAGCGUGGGGAGCAAAC